UACGAGGGGUGCGAGCGUUAUCCAGAAUUAUUGGGCGUAAAGUGUUCGUAGGCGGUAUUUGCUGCUACUUGUUAAAGUUUUAAAGUUAUAUUUAAAAAUGCUUGUAGUACUCUUUUACUUGAGUUUAAUAAAGGAUAACAGAAUUUUGUAUAUAGAGGUAAAAUUCGAUGAAAUACAAAGGAAUGCCAGUGGCGAAAGCGGUUAUCUGGGUUAAUACUGACGUUGAGGAACGAAAGUGUAGGGAGCAAACAGG
Molecule: ribosomal RNA, 253 nt
Filed under: uncultured bacterium
Lineage: Bacteria
Description: partial 16S ribosomal RNA
Rfam family: Bacterial small subunit ribosomal RNA
Source: RNAcentral